ACGUCUGAGAAUGAUUCAGGCCACGUGUCUGAUGUGAAACCCAAUAUCAAACCCUAAACCUACUACACCCCAUACACCGGAACGAUGAAAGAGAUCAGAAAGGAGACAGAGAAAGGUAGUCGGCCAUGUCCCGUGUGUGUGCCGGAACGGCGGCGUUGCCUAUCACUGGUGGUGUGGUGGUGGUUAGAGAGAUUAUCAGUGUGUGGUGGUGUCGGAUUCAGGGUGCGAUUCCGGUGGUGACGGAAUCAGGGUGCGGUUCCGGUGGUGAUUAGCGGCGUGGAGAAGAUGCUAGGGUUCCGGUGAAGGUCCGACAAAGUUACGGCACCACGGGUGUCGGGAUCAACAUGAACAAACGACACCACGGGUGUCGGGAUCUCUGCCGGUGAGAGAUCUGAAUGUUUUACGGUUCCGACGAAGUCAGCUUAGCUCCGGUGAGAACCUGCUUUCCUGAACCAGAUUAGUAUUUAUGAAAAGGGGGAACACAUCCGGCAAACGCAAUAGGUUGUGGUGUCAUCUAGAGGGCGGUGUUCAUCAUCAAUCGGUGGUGUUCGAUUGUUUAUUAGGGCAGUGGUAAGUGGAAUUGGUACUAAAGCAAUCGAUUGGUUCUGUUCAAUGGUUUAGGGCAGUGUGCAUCACUGUUGUUUGGUCUCUAUGUUCUGAAUUAGUUGCGCGUGAUGUGGAAACAAAAAUGAUGCUUCCAGCAUUUUUCAUGAACAAUAUACAGAGAUUGUGCGUUAUAUUUUGGUCUCAACAACAUUUGUCAUGAACAAGGAGUCAACUGAUCGGAGUUUGACUGAAUCUGAGUUUUCGACAGUACUUUAUGCUAUUCACGAGGUUGUAAGCAUUAACAAUAAGAUCUGGACGACUUUCAAACCUUUUUACUCAUUUUGACUUGACGCAUUUGAGAUAUAAUACAACGCAAUUCAGCCAAUCUCGGACGGUGACCGGAAAAUGUUUAAUUUUGUGCGGGUGAGGUAUCAGCUAUUCUCUUACCAUAAAACUCUCAAAAUCAUGCUCCCAAAGAUAACUGCAGGUGGUUCUCUAUCUAAUAUAUUAGAUCAGUGUAUGUAUGUUUUGCCAUAUGUAUGUGACUUUAAAACAUCUCUAAUUUUGUUAUUAAAACCCAAUAUUAAUCCUCUUUGUGCCUCACAGUAUCGCGCCAUGAGACUUGGUUGGGUUGGAUUGUAUUUUCGUGGCUUGCUUCCACCUCUCUUUGAAGAGUAAAUUACAUAUCUUUUUUAUUUGUUUCUGUUCAUUAUUCACAAAGUACACAACUUCACUCUUAGUCACUUGUGCAGAGGUAACAGUUAUACUGGUCAUAGUAAUUCACCUGUUUACACAAUGCAUAACACUUAUUUGUUAAAUCGUAUCACCAAAUAUAAAAUCAAUGUCGCAUGAUUCUGCUUAGGGAUGCCCCAAUGGUUGAUUAGUGAUGGAAGGGGGAGUUGUUCGACGCUGGGUUUAAGGGCGGUUUGUGGUGGACAUGGUGGUUGGAGAUACGACAGUCACUGGCACCGUUUUCUAUGACCAAUGCAAAGAUGGCCAGUUUGAUGCUCAAGAUUAUCCUCUUGGUGGUGAAGACAUUAGCGACACAAAGAAGACUAGGUGCCCGGACGUGUGAAGUAAAAAACUUUUGUGAUCUACGUAUAAACGGAAGACUAUGUAAAUGUUAAAACCGUACUUCUAUAAUUCUCUAAUAUGUCACGUAUAAGUAAAAUGUUCAAACCGUGAAUGAUUCGGUUUAGCGUGUUGCAACGCGAGCGUGGGUAUAAACCUAGUUUACUCAAAAGUAAACAUUGAAGUAUCACAUGUGUAGAUAUUUAUUUUUUAUUUUGUUUAAUGAUAAAAGUAUAGAGCAACAGGACCACAAAGCUGUAUAUUCGUUGAAA
Helianthus annuus (common sunflower) is the source of this 1889-nucleotide long non-coding RNA. RefSeq lists it as uncharacterized. Lineage: Eukaryota; Viridiplantae; Streptophyta; Magnoliopsida; Asterales; Asteraceae. The transcript is spliced from 4 exons. The record is from RefSeq and is a predicted model, not a curated record.